GACGAACGCUGGCGGCGUGCUUAACACAUGCAAGUCGAACGGUCAAGCGAGUGCUUUCCCUCUUUGAUCAUUGGCGAACGGGUGAGUAACACGUGAGUAACCUGCCCAUCACUCUGUGAUAAGCCCUCGAAACGGUGUCUAUUACUGGAUACGACCUACCCUUGCAUGUGGUGUUGUUGGAAAGAUUUAUCUGUCAUUGAUUUAUUCGCGGCCUAUCAGCUUGUUGGCUGGGUAAUGGUAGACCAAGGCGACGACGGAUAGCCGACAUGAGAGGGUGAACGGGCACAAGGGGACUGAGAGACGGAGCAGAAGGCUACGGGAGGCAGCAGUGGGGAAUAUGGCAGAAUGGGGGAAAGUCAGAUGCAGAGACGCCGCGUGAGGGAAGACGGCCUUCGGGGUGUAAACAUAUUUGAGAAGGGAAGAAGAGAAAGUGACGGUACCUGAAGAAGAAGCAACGGCUAACUACGUG
This 469-nucleotide ribosomal RNA is filed under the name uncultured bacterium. Its description in RNAcentral is "partial 16S ribosomal RNA". It matches the Rfam family "Bacterial small subunit ribosomal RNA", at positions 28 to 507 of the family's 1533-position model. The record is from RNAcentral.